CUGAUAUAGCCCUGAGAUGUGUCUUUGGCCACGUUUUCAGCCUGGCCAUGUAUCUGACCACAUGGUCUUAGACUGGUCAGAGAAACCUGCCAGCAGGUUUCAAAGGAAGAAAAUACAUUUCUUUUCUGUCUUGAGGCAUGAACAGGGAGCUCCUGAGCAACAUGGAGAUUGGAGGCGAUUCUCAGAAAGUAUCAGUGGGGAAAGCACUCUGGACAUCACAGGGGCUUUGGGGAAAAAUCCACACUUUGGAAGGAGCACAGAUAUCACUGAACCAAGCUGCUAUGGAUUUUCAGUUCACGCACAUUAAGAUCAACUCUGUUUUUGACACCCAAAUUUCUCGAUGAAAUCUUCAGAUGGCAAAAAUCAGGAUGACUCCAAUGAAGCUGAUGGCACACUAUCAAUAAACUGAUGUAUCUUAGUCUUUGAUCUUCUACU
Molecule: long non-coding RNA, 435 nt
Filed under: Anser brachyrhynchus (Pink-footed goose)
Lineage: Eukaryota; Metazoa; Chordata; Aves; Anseriformes; Anatidae
Description: lncRNA (ENSABRG00000006564.1)
Source: RNAcentral